CUCGAUGGUAGAUGAUGAGACAUCUAUUUUGAUUUUGUCCGUCCAGACUUGGAGAACUAUGUGCUAAAUCAAAGGAAAAGAAAUGCACUCAUAGAAGACUGAUAUUUCUAAAGUCAAGUAGACUUUCUACUUGCUUCAUUAUGGGGAGACUGAGGACCACCUAUUCACCAGGAUUCAUGUACAGUGUCAGGCUGGAAAACCUUCAGGCCUCACCAACCUCAGCAUGUCUACAUACGGUUUUCGUUCAGCUUGAAUGACUGAAAUGCAUUGCCACUCUGUUUCCCUGGAUCUCAACACAUUUGCAGAUACCAUGGAUUACUUUCACACCCUCAGAAAAAAGAGUAAAUAGGAAUUAUUUUUUUAGAAAUUGUACAUCCGAAAAGUAUGAAUUUAAAAGUUUUGACAAGAGAGAAGAGAAAGUUCUCUUAUCCACUACCAACCCAGGGCCAUUUGUGCUUAGUGGUAGAAUAUUGGAAGUGUUUUUAAAGGAAUAUAUGAAUUUUGUAACCAUUCACAAUACUUUUGUAACAUUACGCAUUUUCCUGUAUCUUUUAUGCACCUGAAUUUGGCCUGUGCUGGAAAUUUUCUUCUAUGUGCAUUAUUAUGGAAGGAAUGUGUGUGUCCUUCUCAAACUUCAUAUAUUGUAACCCUAAUCCCCAAGGUGACGAUAUCUGGAGGUGCUGCCUUUGGGAAGUAAUUGAGGUUAGAUGAGGACAUGAGGAUGGGGCCCUCAUGAUAGAAUUAGGCUCCUUAUCAAAAGAGGAAGAGCCGAGAUCUUUCUCUCUCUCAGCCGUGUGAAAAUACACAAAGAUGCCUAUCUGCAAACCAGAAGGAGUGUUCUCACCGGGAACCAAAGCAACUGGCACCUUGAUCUUGGGCUUCCAGCCUCUAGAACUAUGAGAAAUAAAUUUUUGCUGUC
This is a long non-coding RNA of Equus caballus (horse), 919 nucleotides long. Lineage: Eukaryota; Metazoa; Chordata; Mammalia; Perissodactyla; Equidae. The record is from Ensembl.